Molecule: RNA transcript, 861 nt
Organism: Centruroides sculpturatus (bark scorpion)
Lineage: Eukaryota; Metazoa; Arthropoda; Arachnida; Scorpiones; Buthidae
Exons: 5
Source: RefSeq, a predicted model, not a curated record
CAUGGAGCAAGAAGACCCGAUGGAAUUAAAUAAAACAGGAGAAGUAAUGCAGGAAGUCUCCAAAGAAAUAAUCAAAUUUGAUGAAGAGAAGACUGGUGAUGACGAUCGAUAUUCGUGGGAAAGCGAAUCGGUGAAAGAUGACGAUGAUGAUAAAAAAACAACAAAAUGUACGGACAUCUUUCGUUAUUUAUUUAUAAAACUGCCAUCCGUCAUCUUUUCCUGCUGGAAAAGAAAAAAAUAAAUGCUCGACAAUGAAAAAGGGUAGCCGAUGUGCAUGCCAGUCAAUCAAAGGAACAUGCACCAAAGAGGGGAAAAUUCCCUAAAUUGAAGAAACUUUUCAGAUUCUUCUUUUGAACUCCGUCCCUGUGGAGAAGUUCGAACUUGCAGACUAGAUCUGCUGUACAUAGUUCAUUGUACAUAUCAUCAUCAUCAUUUUCAUCUGUACAUAUUCAUCGUCAUUCAUUUUUUUAUUUAUCGUGAUUAUUUCAAAAUUUAUAAAAUUCUGCAUUUCGGCAAUCAUCAUUUAAAAAAUCCAACUUAUGACACUUCUAACACCGAUUGUGACUUAUAUCUAUUGGACUGACAUUAUGAUACCGGACAUACCAAAUGUAUUUUGCACCAAUCUGAGACACAUCCUGGCUCAAAACAAGUUACCUCUGAAUUGACUAACGUAUUAUGACACAACGAUUAUGGACAUACCAAUUGUGACUAACGGAAAAAGACAAUCGACUCCACACACACUCGACAUCCCAAUUUGUGACAAACUAAUUGUAUGCAAUGUAAAGAUCACUGAUUAACUAUAAAUUUAUUUUUCAUUGAUUCCAUUAUGAAAGUAAUUGACUGUAUAAUAAACAAAAUAAU